GGCAAAGGGAGCAGACAGCUGGCAAGCUCUGUCCCAAUAUGCUUCCCUGAAAGAGGCGAGGAAAUUUCAGAAGAUGCAAUGCCUGAAUGGCUCACUUUGCAGGAAAACAGAAGAACCAAGAGUGAACAGGAAACCUACAGAAUAGGAGAAAAUGUUUGCAAUCUACUCAUCUGACAAAAGGCUAAUAUCCAGAAUCUACAAAGAACUCAAACAAAUUUACAAGCAAAAAACGAACAACCCCAUCAACAAGUGGGCGAAGGACAUGAACAGACACUUCUCAAAAGAAGACAUUUAUGCAGCCAACAGACACAUGAAAAAAUGCUCAUCACCACUGCCCAGCUAAAUCUUGACUUCUAUUGAAGAAGUGAAGGAUGGAUUUUGUAAGCCAACCAGCAGCCAAAGGAGACUAAGAGGAGUCAUUCAGGAAUAUAAGGGUUAUGAAGACAGUGGUGUCCCAGAAACCAAGGAGAAGAGGAUGUUGCAUGAAGAAGGAGAUGAUGGUUUCACGUUGGUUACAUUUAUCCAAAUGCCCCGUCCAACUCUUCAGUGUCCCUAGUAAAAUCUGGUAUAGAGAUGGACACUGUUUUUUAGGUGAGGCCUGCUGAGUGUGGAGAGUUGUGAAAAAUUUUUCCCUUAAAUUGAGAAUGUUUUAAAUAAUGCAGCCUGUGUUUUCUUUAAGUAACAAGGCCAUCCCACUGACUCACACUGAUCUAGUUCUCAGCAAAAAACUCCCUGCUCUUCCUCAUAUUAAUUGCCAUAAAAACAAGUCACUUCUAUCAUGCAUUUGGCUCAUUG
Molecule: non-coding RNA, 795 nt
Filed under: Pan troglodytes (chimpanzee)
Lineage: Eukaryota; Metazoa; Chordata; Mammalia; Primates; Hominidae
Source: RNAcentral